GAUGGUAUAGCUCAGUGGCAGAGUAUGUGCUUAGCAUGCACGAAGUCCUGGGUUCAAUCCCCAGUACCUCCA
RNAcentral lists this transfer RNA (72 nucleotides) under Camelus bactrianus (Bactrian camel). It matches the Rfam family "tRNA". Rfam says of the family: Transfer RNA (tRNA) molecules are approximately 80 nucleotides in length. Their secondary structure includes four short double-helical elements and three loops (D, anti-codon, and T loops). The record is from Rfam by way of RNAcentral. Lineage: Eukaryota; Metazoa; Chordata; Mammalia; Artiodactyla; Camelidae. RNAcentral also lists the same sequence under 2 other names.